GACGAACGCUGGCGGCGUGCUUAACACAUGCAAGUCGAACGGAAAGGCCCUGCUUUUGUGGGGUGCUCGAGUGCCGAACGGGUGAGUAACACGUGAGUAACCUGCCCUUGACUUUGGGAUAACUUCAGGAGACUGGGGCUAAUACCGGAUAGGAGCUCCUGCUGCAUGGUGGGGGUUGGAAAGUUUCGGCGGUUGGGGAUGGACUCGCGGCUUAUCAGCUUGUUGGUGGGGUAGUGGCUUACCAAGGCUUUGAAGGGUAGCCGGCCUGAGAGGGUGACCGGCCACAUUGGGACUGAGAUACGGCGCAGACUCCUACGGGAGGCAGCAGUGGGGAAUAUUGCAGAAUGGGCGGAAGCCUGAUGCAGCAACGCCGCGUGCGGGAUGACGGCCUUCGGGUUGUAAACCGCUUUCGCCUGUGACGAAGCGUGAGUGACGGUAAUGGGUAAAGAAGCACCGGCUAACUACGUG
RNAcentral lists this ribosomal RNA (468 nucleotides) under uncultured bacterium. RNAcentral describes it as "partial 16S ribosomal RNA". It matches the Rfam family "Bacterial small subunit ribosomal RNA", at positions 28 to 507 of the family's 1533-position model. The record is from RNAcentral.